GACGAACGCUGGCGGCGUGCCUAACACAUGCAAGUCGAACGGAGCACUUCGGUGCUUAGUGGCGAACGGGUGAGUAACGCGUGAGAAACCUGCCUUUCAGUGGGGGACAACAGUUGGAAACGACUGCUAAUACCGCAUAAUGUUAUUUGGGGGCAUCCCCGAAUAACCAAAGCUUUAUGUGCUGAAAGAUGGUCUCGCGUCUGAUUAGCUAGAUGGCGGGGUAACGGCCCACCAUGGCGACGAUCAGUAGCCGGUCUGAGAGGAUGAACGGCCACAUUGGGACUGAGAUACGGCCCAGACUCCUACGGGAGGCAGCAGUGGGGAAUAUUGGGCAAUGGGCGAAAGCCUGACCCAGCAACGCCGCGUGAAGGAAGAAGGCCUUCGGGUUGUAAACGUUCUUUUACCAGGGUACGAAGAAAGUAGACGGUACCUGGAGAAAAAGGACAACGGAC
RNAcentral lists this ribosomal RNA (452 nucleotides) under uncultured bacterium. RNAcentral's name for it is "bacterial SSU rRNA". It matches the Rfam family "Bacterial small subunit ribosomal RNA", at positions 28 to 501 of the family's 1533-position model. The record is from RNAcentral.